RNAcentral lists this ribosomal RNA (466 nucleotides) under uncultured bacterium. RNAcentral describes it as "bacterial SSU rRNA". It matches the Rfam family "Bacterial small subunit ribosomal RNA", at positions 29 to 507 of the family's 1533-position model. The record is from RNAcentral.
AAUGAACGUUGGCGGCGUGGAUUAGGCAUGCAAGUCGAGCGAGAACCGUAGCAGUACGGGGACAGCGGCGAACGGGACAGUAAUAUGUAGGUACCUACCCCGGGGUCUGGGAUAGCUGCGGGAAACUGCAGGUAAUACCGGAUAAUGUCUUCGGACCAAAGGUGUGAUUCCACCUUGGGAGGGGCCUACAUCCUAUUAGCUUGUUGGUGAGGUAACGGCUCACCAAGGCAACGAUGGGUAGCGGGUGUGAGAGCACGACCCGCGUCAUUGGGACUGAGAUACUGCCCAGACACCUACGGGUGGCUGCAGUCGAGGAUCUUCGGCAAUGGGCGAAAGCCUGACCGAGCGACGCCACGUGUGGGAUGAAGGCCCUCGGGUUGUAAACCACUGUCGACGGGGAGGAAAUACGGAAGGGCUAUCCCUUUUGUUUGACCGAUCUGUGGAGGAAGUACGGGGUAAGUUCGUG